AUUGAACGCUGGCGGCAUGCUUUACACAUGCAAGUCGAACGGCAGCACAGCAGAGGUAACUCUGUGGGUGGCGAGUGGCGAACGGGUGAGUAAUACAUCGGAACGUACCCUGUUGUGGGGGAUAACUACGCGAAAGCGUAGCUAAUACCGCAUACGCCCUGAGGGGGAAAGCGGGGGACCCUAAAUAGAGCGCACUGGGGAGUGCGUUGUAUUUAGGGCCUCGCGCAAUAGGAGCGGCCGAUGUCGGAUUAGCUAGUUGGUGAGGUAAAGGCUUACCAAGGCGACGAUCCGUAGCUGGUCUGAGAGGAUGAUCAGCCACACUGGGACUGAGACACGGCCCAGACUCCUACGGGAGGCAGCAGUGGGGAAUAUUGGGCAAUGGGCGCAAGCCUGACCCAGCCAUGCCGCGUGAGUGACGAAGGCCUUAGGGUUGUAAAGCUCUUUCGGCGGGGAAAAAAUCGCCUCUCCUAAUACGGGGGUGGAUGAUGGUACCGGACUAAG
This 501-nucleotide ribosomal RNA is filed under the name uncultured bacterium. RNAcentral describes it as "bacterial SSU rRNA". It matches the Rfam family "Bacterial small subunit ribosomal RNA", at positions 29 to 487 of the family's 1533-position model. The record is from RNAcentral.